RNAcentral lists this ribosomal RNA (289 nucleotides) under Pseudomonas sp. M1.4. RNAcentral's name for it is "partial 16S ribosomal RNA". It matches the Rfam family "Bacterial small subunit ribosomal RNA", at positions 207 to 486 of the family's 1533-position model. The record is from RNAcentral. Lineage: Bacteria; Pseudomonadati; Pseudomonadota; Gammaproteobacteria; Pseudomonadales; Pseudomonadaceae.
CUUCGGGCCUUGCGCUAUCAGAUGAGCCUAGGUCGGAUUAGCUAGUUGGUGGGGUAAUGGCUCACCAAGGCGACGAUCCGUAACUGGUCUGAGAGGAUGAUCAGUCACACUGGAACUGAGACACGGUCCAGACUCCUACGGGAGGCAGCAGUGGGGAAUAUUGGACAAUGGGCGAAAGCCUGAUCCAGCCAUGCCGCGUGUGUGAAGAAGGUCUUCGGAUUGUANNNCAGGGGUAAGUUGGGAGGAAGGGCAGUAAAUUAAUACUUUGCUGUUUGACGUACCGACAGAU